AGAGUUUGAUCAUGGCUCAGGAUGAACGCUGGCGAGAUGCCUUACACAUGCAAGUCAUACGAGAAUUUUUAAUUCAAGUGGCGGACGGGUGAGUAACACGUAAGAAUUUGCCUUUAGGAGGGGGACAACAACUGGAAACGGUUGCUAAUACCCCAUAUGCUUUCGAGUGAAACGGAAUUUUCCGCCUAAAGAGAAGCUUGCGGCUGAUUAGCUUGUUGGUGAGGUAAUGGCUUACCAAGGCGACGACCAGUAUCUGGUUUGAGAGGAUGAUCAGACACACUGGAACUGAGACACGGUCCAGACUCCUACGGGAGGCAGCAGUGGGGAAUUUUCCGCAAUGGGCGAAAGCCUGACGGAGCAAUCUCGCGUGAGGGAUGACGGCCUAUGGGUUGUAAACCUCUUUUUUCAGGGAGGAAUAAAUGACGUGUACCUGAAGAAUAAGCAUCGGCUAACUCCGUGCCAGCAGCCGCGGUAAGACGGAGGAUGCAAGUGUUAUCCGGAAUCACUGGGCGUAAAGCGUCUGUAGGUGGUUUGAUAAGUCAACUGUUAAAUCUUGAAGCUCAACUUCAAAAUCGCAGUCGAAACUAUCAGACUAGAGUAUAGUAGGGGUAAAGGGAAUUUC
RNAcentral lists this ribosomal RNA (622 nucleotides) under uncultured Crater Lake bacterium CL0-23. Its description in RNAcentral is "bacterial SSU rRNA". It matches the Rfam family "Bacterial small subunit ribosomal RNA", at positions 8 to 670 of the family's 1533-position model. The record is from RNAcentral.